GACGAACGCUGGCGGCGUGCUUAACACAUGCAAGUCGAACGAUGAAGCCUGGCUUGCUCGGUGGUUUAGUGGCGAACGGGCGAGUAAUACGUGAGUGACCUACCUUUUACUCUGGGAUAAACCUGGGAAACUGGGUCUAAUACCGGAUACGACCAAUCUCCGCCUGGGGUGUUGGUGGAAGACGUUAGGGAGUGGUGUUAGAUGGACUGACGGCCUAUCAGCUUGAUGGUGAUGGAAUGGCUUACCAAGGCGACGACGGGUAGCCGACCUGAGAGGGUGACCGGCCACACUGGGACUGAGACACGGCCCAGACUCCAACGGGAGGCAGCAGUGGGGAAUAUUGCACAAUGGGCGCAAGCCUGAUGCAGCGACGCCGCGUGCGGGAUGACGGCCUUCGGGGUGUAAACCUCUGUUAGCAUCGAAGAAGCGAAAGUGACGGUAGGUGCAGAGAAAGCGCCGGCUAACUACGUG
This 471-nucleotide ribosomal RNA is filed under the name uncultured bacterium. Its description in RNAcentral is "partial 16S ribosomal RNA". It matches the Rfam family "Bacterial small subunit ribosomal RNA", at positions 28 to 507 of the family's 1533-position model. The record is from RNAcentral.